GUGAACGCUGGCGGUAGGCCUAACACAUGCAAGUCGAACGGCAGCACAUUAAGAGCUUGCUCUUACGGGUGGCGAGUGGCGGACGGGUGAGGAAUACAUCGGAAUCUACUUUUUCGUGGGGGAUAACGUAGGGAAACUUACGCUAAUACCGCAUACGACCUACGGUUGAAAGCAGGGGAUCUUCGGACCUUGCGCGAUUGUAUGAGCCGAUGUCGGAUUAGCUAGUUGGCGGGGUAAAGGCCCACCAAGGCGACGAUCCGUAGCUGGUCUGAGAGGAUGAUCAGCCACACUGGAACUGAGACACGGUCCAGACUCCUACGGGAGGCAGCAGUGGGGAAUAUUGGACAAUGGGCGCAAGCCUGAUCCAGCCAUACCGCGUGGGUGAAGAAGGCCUUCGGGUUGUAAAGCCCUUUUGUUGGGAAAGAAAAGCAGCAGGUUAAUACCCCGCUGUUCUGACGGUACCCAAAGAAUAAGCACCGGCUAACUUCGUG
RNAcentral lists this ribosomal RNA (491 nucleotides) under uncultured bacterium. RNAcentral's name for it is "partial 16S ribosomal RNA". It matches the Rfam family "Bacterial small subunit ribosomal RNA", at positions 29 to 507 of the family's 1533-position model. The record is from RNAcentral.